AGCAGAGAGCUGUGUGAUCUGAAAGGAAGAAAGUCCAAGAGGCCCUGCAGGUGUGAUGUAACCUGGUUUCUAAUUGCCGAGCAGGAACUGCUCCCAGGCAGAGGGCGAGGAGAUGGCUGUGGGUCCCCAGGUCGAAGGUUGCACUCCAUCUGUCCCUGCUGAGGAAGUGCUCCUCCUGGAAAAUGCCUGGAUGGGAGAAGAAGCAUUUAUCUGUCGCUCUGUUCUGCUAACAACUUGGAUCAGGAAGGCUGGAGAACCAUCAGCAGUUCCCAUGCUCUGAGACCAAGGCCACGUCUGGAGCCGGGGGCUGGGUUAGCUGUGCAAGUGUAGGGAGACCCUCCUGCACCCUCUCUGACCACGGGACCCUCGAGCAGAAGUGCCCCAGGCUUCUUGCCUAUAGACAGGAGCGAUUUGGCAGCGCAGCCAGGUAGGCUGAAUCGUGCUUAGCUGUUCUACAGGGAUUUUCCUUUGCUUGGAAACCGGCUGGA
Struthio camelus australis is the source of this 488-nucleotide long non-coding RNA. RefSeq lists it as uncharacterized. Lineage: Eukaryota; Metazoa; Chordata; Aves; Struthioniformes; Struthionidae. The record is from RefSeq and is a predicted model, not a curated record.